Zonotrichia albicollis (white-throated sparrow) is the source of this 4229-nucleotide non-coding RNA. The record is from RefSeq and is a predicted model, not a curated record. NCBI's taxonomy places the organism in Eukaryota, Metazoa, Chordata, Aves, Passeriformes, Passerellidae.
GCUGUUUCACUCUGCAGCUGAAGAAACAUACAGUAGUGGCAGGGAGCCUUGGGGCAGCUGGUUUAAGGAUUGAUUUUGCAAGCUGUUCCUUACUAUCUGACAUUCAUAAAAUUCAUCUUGAACAACUGGUUUUCCUACUGAACUCUUCAACUCUGACCAGAAGAGGAUCCUGCUGGCUGGACACAUUCAGAUCAUCUCUGGAGCUGCACAAAAUGGUACCAGAUGCACUGAGAUCCACCUCUCCAUGUGUAACAUCCAGCUGGGCCUGCAUUGAAGGAUAGAAGAAAAGACUGAAGUCCUUCUGCUGUACCUUGAAGCCAGCUCCCAGCCCAUGUCUGACCCCAUCAUGGACUCAGGGAAAAAAACCAUUUGGGUGCUAGCUUUGACAACACUCAACUGACCCUCCUGAGCUGAAAAAUCCCUUGCAGCAUUUUGAUAAAGCACUGCAUGUCCAGAUCCAACCCCAUAGCCAAUCCUGUUUCAAGAGCAGGAGAAACUAGAGACCUCCUGAUCUUUUUCAAAUUGAAUUUUCAUAUGAUCCUAUGAAGACACCAUGCUUUUCUCCAGUAUUUAAAUAGUCUUCAUUCCAAUAGGUAAGUUUAUUAAUCAAACUUUGUACCAAGUAGCUUUGGUUAAUACAUUGUCAUAAUUCCACCUCUACGGUACAAGAUUCCUUUAGACAAAAAAGGCAAUGAAGCAUGCAUCCCAUAAAACAAUAAAAUACAGCUAAGGUUGUUGUUAUGGAAUGAAGUUGCUGCAAAUUCCACAUAAACCAGGAAUUUAUGCCAGGAGUUCUUCAAAGUACUGGGGCUGGCCUUCCAACAAUGUGAAAAUGUUAACACCGGGGCUAAGGGAGCUUGAUUUUUUUUCCUUCCCUUGUGUAAAUAUGAUAGUAUUUCUCUGUGUCCUGGUUUGAAACCCUCUUGAGCUGCAGUGGGUGCCAAUAGACAGGAUGUUUGUUCUGCAGCAGGAGGCUUGUUCUGCAACAGGGCACUCAAACUGCUCCUGUCACAGGAGGUCAUAGUCACCUUCUCUGUUCCUCCACUGCAAACUGUUGAUGACCCAGGUCAUAAUGGUGCACAAAUUUUCUAAUAUAACUCAGUGAAGGUGGAUAAAAUAAACAAUAACACAUUUCUUCUUGAAUAUAGCUUAUCUUUUAAACUGUAUCUUUUUGUAUUUCUGUGAAGGAUUACCCCACUCCUGGUUCUUCUCUCUCAUGUCAAGAAGGCACUGCUGGAGAAACCUUCCUUGACCACAAAAUGUAGUUCCUCACGAAGCCUUGCUCAGGAGACAGAGUUUUGUUGCUUAACUUCAGCAUUUAUUCCUAUGUAGGGUCUACCACCCAUCUGAAAUAUUCCUUUAAAACAAUUUUCAUUUCCUCAUUUAAACCAAAAAACAGUUUUCACGGGAGUAUGUGAAGGCAUUUCUCUUUUUUGAAAGAUUUUUUUCCCAUAACGUUUUCCUUCAGUAGUACUUAUUCAUCAAAAAUUUAUUUCUUAGCUCCUAGAAAUGUGUUUUCUUUCCUCUUUUGUCUGCAACCUUCUUCUACUCAGAAACAGUCUCUUGAGGAUCACUGUUUCAAGGGCAGAACUUCUACUAUGCAAAAUAUGUAACCCUCAGGAAAAUGCUACCUUUGAAAUUUUUCUGUUCCAAACAAAAACUCAGGAUGUAGAAGCAGCCCAGAAAAGGUGUUUGGGAUGAAAAUGUAUGAUCAGUUUGAGUAAGGGCUGUAACCUCUCAUUACAUGCUUUUCAUUGUACUAUAUGACUUUAUUCUCUUUCUACAGAUGUACUACACCUACUUGCUUCUCUCUAAUGGUUCUCUUCGUUCCCAUUUCUCCCCAGUUUUCAAUCCUUUGCUUUCUUCAGAACUUGCACUUGAGACCUCCAUUCCUAAAAUUCUCUUCCCCUCAACAUUUUGAUCGAAGCCAGGAUGAGGCCUUUUCCCCUUAGUGGGAAAAGACAGUGAGUGGUAGCCGGGAGUUUCUAGAAGACCUGUCACAAAUGAUCACAUUGCAGAAGAAAUGUAGGUAUGUUAGGAAGGAGGCAAUUGGGCUAAUCAUGAGCUCACAAAAAAACAAGCACAGAGAAAGUAGAUCUUUCCAUAGGAUGAGUGCAGAAAUGUGGCUUGGUAAGAAUGGGUAAGAACAAACACAAAAAAAGCCAAUACAACAAAUAAAACUUAACUAGAAAGAGCAUCCCAAGUAGUGAGAAACCAUUUGAUAAGUACAUCAGUGGUAAGAGGAAGUCAAAAGCAAGUGGAUUACUCAUCAGAGAGAGAAAGAUAUUGACUGAUGCCAGAGAGGGCUCAGACUGCCUCAGGUUUUCUUUGCACCAGCUAAAAGAGGUCACAUUUGAUCAGGUGACUGAUGUGAUACACAUUAAUGACAAGGGAAUAAGGUUUCAGCCCAGGCUGGGGCAGAACAAGAAUACUUAGGUAACAUCAAGAUGUUCAAAGCAACAGUCUGGCUGCACUUUAUGCCAGGGUAGUGAAGGAAGUGGCUCAAACAGCAUUGGAAACACUCAUGUUUAUCUCGGAGAAUCCAGGGAAUAAAUAAGGGCAAGAAAUAAGCAAACUGAUGCUGUCUUUAAAAGUAGCAUUUGAAAAUAAAUAAAUAAGCCAGUUUUUCACCCAAGAAAGCAUCUAGCACAAAUAGACACACGAUUUGUAGACAGGUAGAAGGAAACAAUAGGGUAAGCAACUAUUAAUAUGAACUUGUCAACUAGAAACUGGGACAAUAUGGGCAAAUUUCCCUUAGCAAUGGGGAGCAGAGAAUGUUAUGGAAGAGGGGAUAGUGGACUCCACUCAUCUGUGCCUUGAUUAGCCUCUAUGCACAUGCUUAUGAGGAAGGGAGUUCAGCUAAUCUGAAAAAUUUAGGCAGGGGGUACAGAAGUUUGGAAACAGCAGUUGUCAGUGUUUUACAAGCAAGAGGGUGGAUUACAAAUGCAGUUCCAAAGGGGGUGUUUCGUUAGCAGCCUUCAGAGAUGGCACUAACUGGGGAGCAACUGUAAACACAUUGGAGGAUGACAUAAGAAUUCAAAAUAACCCAAAGAAUUUACUGGGAAAGCAAAGAACAUGACUGAGAAGCACUGUGAUGAAUUGUUUUUGCAGGCAGGGUUACCCUCUGCACACUCAGAGGCUGGGGCACUGCUCAGCACGGGCUGCAGACAGCAGCUGAGGAGAGAGCAGAGAGCUGCAGGCAGUCCGUGGCCAAAGAGACUGCAGCAGAGGCAGACAAAUUGCAGCUGGUCAUCUUAAAGAAAACAUGGCACAGGGACGUGAUAGCAGCCAUCAGAUGUAAAAGGACACUGCAACACAGAAAGAGAAGACUUCCCUUGGCAGGGACCACCACCUUCACAUUUCAGCAAGGAAUAUUCAGAGAGGAGGAUAAAGUGUCACCUGGAGAGGCUGUAGGGCCUCUGAAGUAUUGAGUGUUCCUCAUAGCAGAAUCCAGGGAAGCCCCACAAAAGGGACACAGAGACAGACUGAAGUGGUGUAGAUGUGAAACCUUUCUGGUGUCCUCUGUAAGACAAAGGGCUAAAGGGAGGGAAAUCUAAGGCAUUAAUGGUGUACAAUAAUUUGCUAGUAGAGAAGAGAUCAAGUACAUGAAAUUCCAUCAACAACUUGCUCUUCCAUUUAUAUUUGGCAAUGACACCCAUCCUCUUCUAAUGCACACAAGCCUUUUCUGCUCACUAGCUGUGUUCACGUGUACAAGCGUAUAUUGAUCUGUUUUCUCUCCUUCCCUUCUUACAAAGGAAAAAAUAACUGCAGAGUUCAGUAAUGCACGGGCUGUGCUCUACGAUGAAAAUAGUCUGAGGCACUUACACGCUGAAGUAAAUUUAGCUUAACAUAAAAAUAACCUUCACAAAUUUGAAAUGCCUAUUUUACAAUUAACGUCAGGUGCUAACAGGAUAUAAUUUUCUUCCAAGUGUGUGCUGAUGUGACAGGCUGACUGAAGCGAUGCAGGCACCUCUCCUCGCCGCCCUCUGGGUCUCAGAGAUGCCCCCUUCACCUUUCGGCUCUUCCCUCCGAGUCUCGUCCUUUCCUCAGCCACACAGGGUGCUCCUGCGGCUCGGCGAUGCGGUGCGCUCCCGCCCAGCCCGCUGCAGCCGCGCCGCGCUGUUAAAGGCGCACCCACCGUGUAAAUAAUUGAUACGGAGCGGGCGCGCUGCGGAGCCCGAGCGCCUCCUCCUCCCGUUCCCCAGCCCUGCGCUGCCCGCCCCGCGGCC